Molecule: long non-coding RNA, 360 nt
Organism: Mustela erminea (ermine)
Lineage: Eukaryota; Metazoa; Chordata; Mammalia; Carnivora; Mustelidae
Exons: 3
Source: RefSeq, a predicted model, not a curated record
UAGAAGCAUGGAGAUUGACCAUAAAAACAAAACCAUCACAGCAUAUCAUGAACCCGGUCAUGCUAUUAUUGCAUAUUACACUAAGGACGCAAUGCCUAUCAACAAAGCUACAAUCAUGCCAAGAGGGCCAACACCUGGACAUGUGUCCCUCUUGCCUGAGAAUGACAGAUGGAAUGAAACUAGAGCUCAGCUGCUUGUGCAGAUGGAUGUUAGUAUGGGAAGAAGAGGGGCUGAGGAGCUUAUAUUUGGAACUGACCAUAUCACAACAGGUGCUUCCAGUGAUUUUGAUAAUGCAGCCAAAAUUGCAAAGCGGAUGGUUACCAAAAUUUGGAAUGAGCGAAAAGGGAAUAGCUAAUUCUA